RNAcentral lists this ribosomal RNA (462 nucleotides) under uncultured bacterium. RNAcentral's name for it is "partial 16S ribosomal RNA". It matches the Rfam family "Bacterial small subunit ribosomal RNA", at positions 29 to 507 of the family's 1533-position model. The record is from RNAcentral.
AGUGAACGCUGGCGGCGUGCCUAAUACAUGCAAGUCGAACGGAGAUUAAGUAGCUUGCUAUUUAAUCUUAGUGGCGCACGGGUGAGUAAUAUAUAGCUAACUUGCCCAUUACUAUGGGACAACAGUUGGAAACGACUGCUAAUACCUUAUACUCCGUAUCUAUAUAAGUAGAUACGGGAAAGUUUUUCGGUAAUGGAUAGGGCUAUAUCGUAUCAGCUAGUUGGUAAGGUAAUGGCUUACCAAGGCUAUGACGCGUAACUGGUCUGAGAGGAUGAUCAGUCAAACUGGAACUGAGACACGGUCCAGAAUCCUACGGGAGGAAGCAGUAGGGAAUAUUGCUAAAUGGGGGAAACCCUGAAGCAGCAACGCCGCGUGGAGGAUGACACUUUUCGGAGCGUAAACUACUUUUCUUGGGAAAGAAUUAUGACGGUACCCAAGGAAUAAGCACCGGCUAACUCCGUG